RNAcentral lists this ribosomal RNA (253 nucleotides) under uncultured bacterium. Its description in RNAcentral is "partial 16S ribosomal RNA". It matches the Rfam family "Bacterial small subunit ribosomal RNA", at positions 524 to 776 of the family's 1533-position model. The record is from RNAcentral.
GACGAAGGGGGCUAGCGUUGUUCGGAAUUACUGGGCGUAAAGCGUGCGCAGGCGGUGUUGUAAGUCUGACGUGAAAUCCCCGGGCUCAACCUGGGAAUUGCGUUGGAGACUGCAAGGCUGGAGUCUGGCAGAGGGGGGUAGAAUUCCACGUGUAGCAGUGAAAUGCGUAGAGUUGUGGAGGAACACCGAUGGCGAAGGCAGCCCCCUGGGUCAAGACUGACGCUCAUGCACGAAAGCGUGGGGAGCAAACAGG